This 275-nucleotide ribosomal RNA is filed under the name uncultured bacterium. Its description in RNAcentral is "partial 16S ribosomal RNA". It matches the Rfam family "Bacterial small subunit ribosomal RNA", at positions 79 to 353 of the family's 1533-position model. The record is from RNAcentral.
CUAAGUUUGAUGGCGACCGGCGCACGGGUGAGUAACACGUAUCCAACCUGCCGAUGACUCGGGGAUAGCCUUUCGAAAGAAAGAUUAAUACCCGAUGGCAUAGUUCUUCCGCAUGGUAGAACUAUUAAAGAAUUUCGGUCAUCGAUGGGGAUGCGUUCCAUUAGGUUGUUGGCGGGGUAACGGCCCGCCAAGCCUUCGAUGGAUAGGGGUUCUGAGAGGAAGGUCCCCCACAUUGGAACUGAGACACGGUCCAAACUCCUACGGGAGGCAGCAUG